This is a long non-coding RNA of Vespa velutina, 1414 nucleotides long. RefSeq lists it as uncharacterized. The transcript has 2 exons. The record is from RefSeq and is a predicted model, not a curated record. NCBI's taxonomy places the organism in Eukaryota, Metazoa, Arthropoda, Insecta, Hymenoptera, Vespidae.
AGAAAGCAAUCGAUCGACGUGUUAAGACGUAACGAGGCAAUCGACUUUGAACCUUCAUAGAAGAAACAUCUUACCGAAUGUAUAAACGUUAAGGAAACGAACCCCAUUGAAAAGAAAAAAAAGGAAGAAAGCUGUAAAAAGAAAAACUGUGCUACGUUAGAAGGGACGUAGUAACAGUUAUGUCGAAGAAGAAGAAGAAGAAGAAGAAGAAGAAGAAGAAGAAGAAGAAGAAGAAGAAAGCAAGGCUGCGAGGGUGGGCUUUAUUAUGUCUGAGGAGGAGUCACGCGAGUAAGAAGCUAAGGAGAGAUAUAGCUUAAGCCGAGGACAAAAACUAGAACGGGGGGUUUGCCUUCAGUGUCUUUUGCACGAGGGAUACGGGAUCACAUAAAGGGUUUUAUUAUGUCUCCCUUUUUCUCCCUUUCUGGGAGAAACCACAACGAAGAGCUAGCGGCUAACAAUAAGAGAGACACGUGCGCUCGUACACGCUACGUGCUCUCUUCGAUGACUCGCGUAGAAAAUAUGUACCCUUGGGAUUCGUAUGAAAACUGGUAAUCUUUGAAGAGACAAAUUAAUGUAUUCGUUCGUAGUAAUAUCAUUGAUGAAUCGAAUUAAAGCUGAAUCCCCUCAUCAUUUAAUAUGGGUGAAAUAAAAUUUCCAGCACUAAUAUUCCUUACUAAUAUCCAGAGUGUAGCUAAAAUAACGCAACGAUGUCAUUGUCCCUUCGAGCCAAGCGAUAUCGAUUGAUUCGAGUUAUCGUGGAAUCUCCUAUCGCUACCGACAUAUCCAUCACCUCUUCGAGCCGCGUAAAUAAAUUACGUUCGCGUGACAUUUACCUUUUAUGCUGGCACAGCUUUACCUUCGAUCCUUCUUUCACUCUUCCUCGCUUUUUAUCCUUUCCGCUUCUUCCUCUCAUUGCCUCUUGCGAAAAAGAAACUUUUAUAAAAAGAUGUGUUUUUCCUUCAAAGAGACGAAAACGUAGAACCGCAUGUGGUCACUCAAAGAGUUUUCCCAUGUGUGAAUAAAUCCAAGAAAAAGAGAUGGUUAUGUCAAACAGAUGGAAGAAAGAAAAGGAAGGCGAAACGAGUGCAGUCGAGAGGCAGUGAAUCGUCCUAUAGUAACCUCUUCGAUGGUAUGUUACGAACAUAACCCUCGGACGAAUGUCCUUUUGAUUGCUCGCCCGUUAAGAAGGAUGAUACGUUUUCUUUUGAAUUUGCAAUGUUGCGUAAGUAUUUUCUCUUUCGUUUCUUUUUAGCCAUUUUUCUUUUUAUUUUCUUAUUCGUUUGAAUAUCUGGUGGACAGAAGGACAUUAUAAGUGGGAUAACAUGAGAAAUAUUCUUCGGAUUUGUUUGAAAUGUAAUUGAAUCGACGAUAAUGUAUUAUCAAUUUUCUAUUAAAACAUAUAUUUUGAAUUCUA